AGUAACACGUGGAUAACCUACCUAUAAGACUGGGAUAACUUCGGGAAACCGUAGCUAAUACCGGAUAAUAUUUUGAACCGCAUGGUUCAAAAGUGAAAGACGGUCUUGCUGUCACUUAUAGAUGGAUCCGCGCUGCAUUAGCUAGUUGGUAAGGUAACGGCUUACCAAGGCAACGAUGCAUAGCCUACCUGAGAGGGUGAUCGGCCACACUGGAACUGAGACACGGUCCAG
Molecule: ribosomal RNA, 231 nt
Filed under: uncultured Staphylococcus sp.
Lineage: Bacteria; Bacillati; Bacillota; Bacilli; Caryophanales; Staphylococcaceae
Description: partial 16S ribosomal RNA
Rfam family: Bacterial small subunit ribosomal RNA
Source: RNAcentral